RNAcentral lists this ribosomal RNA (1520 nucleotides) under Klebsiella pneumoniae. RNAcentral describes it as "bacterial SSU rRNA". It matches the Rfam family "Bacterial small subunit ribosomal RNA". RNAcentral also lists the same sequence under 2 other names. The record is from RNAcentral. Lineage: Bacteria; Pseudomonadati; Pseudomonadota; Gammaproteobacteria; Enterobacterales; Enterobacteriaceae.
AGAGUUUGAUCAUGGCUCAGAUUGAACGCUGGCGGCAGGCCUAACACAUGCAAGUCGAGCGGUAGCACAGAGAGCUUGCUCUCGGGUGACGAGCGGCGGACGGGUGAGUAAUGUCUGGGAAACUGCCUGAUGGAGGGGGAUAACUACUGGAAACGGUAGCUAAUACCGCAUAAUGUCGCAAGACCAAAGUGGGGGACCUUCGGGCCUCAUGCCAUCAGAUGUGCCCAGAUGGGAUUAGCUAGUAGGUGGGGUAACGGCUCACCUAGGCGACGAUCCCUAGCUGGUCUGAGAGGAUGACCAGCCACACUGGAACUGAGACACGGUCCAGACUCCUACGGGAGGCAGCAGUGGGGAAUAUUGCACAAUGGGCGCAAGCCUGAUGCAGCCAUGCCGCGUGUGUGAAGAAGGCCUUCGGGUUGUAAAGCACUUUCAGCGGGGAGGAAGGCGGUGAGGUUAAUAACCUCAUCGAUUGACGUUACCCGCAGAAGAAGCACCGGCUAACUCCGUGCCAGCAGCCGCGGUAAUACGGAGGGUGCAAGCGUUAAUCGGAAUUACUGGGCGUAAAGCGCACGCAGGCGGUCUGUCAAGUCGGAUGUGAAAUCCCCGGGCUCAACCUGGGAACUGCAUUCGAAACUGGCAGGCUAGAGUCUUGUAGAGGGGGGUAGAAUUCCAGGUGUAGCGGUGAAAUGCGUAGAGAUCUGGAGGAAUACCGGUGGCGAAGGCGGCCCCCUGGACAAAGACUGACGCUCAGGUGCGAAAGCGUGGGGAGCAAACAGGAUUAGAUACCCUGGUAGUCCACGCCGUAAACGAUGUCGAUUUGGAGGUUGUGCCCUUGAGGCGUGGCUUCCGGAGCUAACGCGUUAAAUCGACCGCCUGGGGAGUACGGCCGCAAGGUUAAAACUCAAAUGAAUUGACGGGGGCCCGCACAAGCGGUGGAGCAUGUGGUUUAAUUCGAUGCAACGCGAAGAACCUUACCUGGUCUUGACAUCCACAGAACUUUCCAGAGAUGGAUUGGUGCCUUCGGGAACUGUGAGACAGGUGCUGCAUGGCUGUCGUCAGCUCGUGUUGUGAAAUGUUGGGUUAAGUCCCGCAACGAGCGCAACCCUUAUCCUUUGUUGCCAGCGGUCCGGCCGGGAACUCAAAGGAGACUGCCAGUGAUAAACUGGAGGAAGGUGGGGAUGACGUCAAGUCAUCAUGGCCCUUACGACCAGGGCUACACACGUGCUACAAUGGCAUAUACAAAGAGAAGCGACCUCGCGAGAGCAAGCGGACCUCAUAAAGUAUGUCGUAGUCCGGAUUGGAGUCUGCAACUCGACUCCAUGAAGUCGGAAUCGCUAGUAAUCGUAGAUCAGAAUGCUACGGUGAAUACGUUCCCGGGCCUUGUACACACCGCCCGUCACACCAUGGGAGUGGGUUGCAAAAGAAGUAGGUAGCUUAACCUUCGGGAGGGCGCUUACCACUUUGUGAUUCAUGACUGGGGUGAAGUCGUAACAAGGUAACCGUAGGGGAACCUGCGGUUG